CCUACGGGAGGCAGCAGUGGGGAAUAUUGGACAAUGGGGGGAACCCUGAUCCAGCCAUGCCGCGUGUGUGAAGAAGGCCCUCGGGUUGUAAAGCACUUUCAGUGAGGAAGAACGCCUGGUGGUUAAUACCCAUCAGGAAAGACAUCACUCACAGAAGAAGCACCGGCUAACUCCGUGCCAGCAGCCGCGGUAAUACGGAGGGUGCGAGCGUUAAUCGGAAUUACUGGGCGUAAAGCGCGCGUAGGUGGCUUGAUAAGCCGGUUGUGAAAGCCCCGGGCUCAACCUGGGAACGGCAUCCGGAACUGUCAAGCUAGAGUGCGGGAGAGGAAGGUAGAAUUCCCGGUGUAGCGGUGAAAUGCGUAGAGAUCGGGAGGAAUACCAGUGGCGAAGGCGGCCUUCUGGACUGACACUGACACUGAGGUGCGAAAGCGUGGGUAGCAAACAGGAUUAGAUACCCUAGUAGUC
RNAcentral lists this ribosomal RNA (465 nucleotides) under Vreelandella stevensii. RNAcentral describes it as "partial 16S ribosomal RNA". It matches the Rfam family "Bacterial small subunit ribosomal RNA", at positions 338 to 795 of the family's 1533-position model. Lineage: Bacteria; Pseudomonadati; Pseudomonadota; Gammaproteobacteria; Oceanospirillales; Halomonadaceae. The record is from RNAcentral.